AUGCAAGGGGACCAGGCGGAGAAGAAGGGGAAGGUGAAGAAGGGGUGGCUGGCGGUGCGGGUCGGCCAGGCGGAGCAGCAAGGCGACGGGUUCCGACGGUUCGUCAUCCCCAUCGCCUACCUCUACCACCCGCUCUUCCAGAGCCUGCUGGAGGCGGCCCGGGACACGUAUGGCUACAACUCGGCCGGCCCGCUCCGGCUGCCCUGCUCCGUCGAUGAGUUCCUCCGCCUGCGCGCGCUCGUCGACCGGGAGACGGCGCACUCAUCCUCGCACCGCGUGCACGUGCACGCCGGCGGCCACCAGCAGCACGGCUACUCCUUCGCCCCGUGCACCCGCGCCAGACUCACCUCCUGA
Molecule: ribosomal RNA, 354 nt
Filed under: Triticum aestivum (bread wheat)
Lineage: Eukaryota; Viridiplantae; Streptophyta; Magnoliopsida; Poales; Poaceae
Description: partial small subunit ribosomal RNA
Source: RNAcentral